RNAcentral lists this long non-coding RNA (2491 nucleotides) under Onthophagus taurus. RNAcentral describes it as "uncharacterized LOC111426525, transcript variant X3". The record is from RNAcentral. Lineage: Eukaryota; Metazoa; Arthropoda; Insecta; Coleoptera; Scarabaeidae.
UUUUGUAUUAAUACAUCGUUUUAAGACACUUUGUAUAUUUAUAAAGAUAUAAGGAACGAUUUCGCCUCAAAUCGAUCCUUAUAUAUCUUGUUAUCUCUUACAUGUAGAAUUUUACCCUCAAACCGCCGAGGUCACUUGCGGGCGAGGCGCUACAUUUGACAUAUCAACACAAAUUCGUCAACUUUGAAGGAUUUAUGUUUCUAUCAGGUCAAGUUUGUAUAAAGUAAAGACUAAGAAAGUAGUCUUAUUUAAGAGACUGUCCUGAGACUUUGAUAUGUUUGUCAGAAAACUGUACUUUUUUAACAAACAACGGGUGUCAUAGAUCCCUGAGCAGGUAAGGUAUGGUUUGCAGGAGAAGUAGCGAUAAAAAUGUUGGUUAUACUAAAAGUAAGUAAUAACCAAACGUGAUUUCUAAAAGUACUCAUAUAGAACGCUACUCAAAUAGCGGAUAAAUCGAGAUAAACACUUAAAUGUACACAAAUAUAAGAAACAUGUCAUGACUUGUUUGAUUGAAGUAUUAUUUACAUCUCAACUUUGAUAUAAUUUCUUAAUUUAUUUUAUUUUACCAUGAGUGUGUUUCACAAAGAUUAGUUGAUACCUUCCAGCUUCAAUUUGUUUGAAAAUUCCCAAUAAACAAUUAAAACUUAUUUAUAUUAAUCACCACAAAAUUGUCGAGAUGAUUCACAAUUUACAUUUUGAUAAGAUAUUACUCAAAAAAAAAGAAUCAUUUCCUCGGUUUUAACAUUAAUAAUUUCUAGAAUAUUCUAGAAGGAUACAUUAUUCAAUUUAAAAAGAGAGGAGAAGAUAAGAGACGGUAAGAAAGGAAGAAAGGCCUCGAAAAAAGCGUGUUUGAACGUGUUUAAAGAGUCUCGUUUAUGUUCUAGAAUUUUAAGGAGAAAUAACAAUUUUAUCAGCAAGAAAUUAAUAAAUUUGUUUAAAAACAAUUACGAAACGAAUUAAUCUUUUUUUUAACUGUUUUAAAACCUUGCACAAUUAAGGUUUAAAACACAAUCUUCAAGGUUUCUAUGACUAAUCCGAAUCGAUACAUAUUUUGAAAUUAAAUCCCAUUUAAAUAAAAAUAUUUAAAAACGAUAAAUCGACGUCAUUAAACGGUUAAUAUCAUCAUCAACGUCUUUUUGAGACGUGCACAACGUGGUUGUCGUCACGUACUUGUUAUCUCUGCACCGUUUUAACAUUUUUAUUCCUUUGUAAUUUUUUCUUUCUUUUGUAGCUCUUCCAACCAAAGCAAAAAAGAUACAAUUAACGUGGAUUAAAGUACGACCUCGCUUUUUUCCCUCUUUUUAACUAAGCAUUAUCACAGAAUGACUCAUUAUUGUAAAACGUGCUUAUUAACUCGUAUAAUGCGGCAAGUAGUCACUAACUAAAAAUGUUGCAUCAGAUAUUUUUCAGCUUAUCUUUAGAUGUUGAGGUUGCAUCAGAAUCUUAAUUUAAAUUAAUUUUUAGGUUAUGUUUAAUUUUAAUUUGACGUUUCAAGGUUAUAUAAAAUUUUUUUUUUCUUAAGUUUGUAGUAACUAUAAUCCCGUUUUGUUUUUGUUUUUAAUGAGACGCCGUAUUUCGUGGAAGAAUUGCGAUUUUUAAAACCGGGGUGAUUCUAACCUGUAAAAUUUUUUUGGUGCUUUCAAGUUGGUAUCAGUUAUCAAUAAUUAGUGGUCCGUGCCUAAUUCUGCCUGUCUUAUUACCUUCACAUCUUGUACUGGAUAUCUAAAAAAAAAAACAUCUCAUCGAUUUCUAUUAAUAAAAUGGAUAAGUGGAAAACAUCAUCUGUUACAUAUCUUUAUGACAAAACGGCAGCUGUUUGCCGUCUAAAUAUUCAUCUGCAUUGAAUGGAACGCCGUGAAUGGAGGUUACUCGAAGAAACGAGUUGUUCAUUCCAUUUCUGUAAAACCCGAAACUCCAAGUGUGGAUAAAUGGAUUCGAUGAUGAAUGUUUAAAAUUUAUUGGAAUUAAGAAAUGAGUUAAAGAAACUUGAAUUAUAAAAAGAAGAACAAAGGUUUUCGUGCUUGAACACGUUAUGACAAGUUCAUAGCCAGGUUGUAGCUAUUUUUAAGAACAACUCAUGAUUCUCCAUUACAUCUCAACCCGCAAAAUGGGAGAUCUUAAAAGAUAAGGUUCUAGAUGGACACCUGUGAUACGUGCCGUACAAAACGUUUCUACUUUAUAACUCGUUUCUUCUACGCCCCGGGGGCAAAGGAGCCACUCCCGGCGCUUGAUGCCGUCGCUCCUCCGCCAGAUUUAAAAAUAAUUAAAUCUCCGAGGUCAGAAAACAGAGACAACGCCGGUAGAAAAUCAACUUUCUCCGUAACUGGUGUGGCGCCUCAACCCAAUAAACAAAUUCAAGAAACCAGGUCAGAACUACAAAGUACAAAGCAUCAAGAAUCUAAUACGGUUUUCGUGCUUCAACACGUUAUGACAAGUUCAUAGCCAGGUUGUAGCUAUUUUUAAGAACUACUCAUGAUUCUCCAUUAAGCAG